This 423-nucleotide ribosomal RNA is filed under the name uncultured bacterium. RNAcentral's name for it is "bacterial SSU rRNA". It matches the Rfam family "Bacterial small subunit ribosomal RNA", at positions 207 to 622 of the family's 1533-position model. The record is from RNAcentral.
AAGACCUUGCGCUUUUGGAGCGGCCGAUGCCUGAUUAGCUAGUUGGUGGGGUAAUGGCCUACCAAAGCUUCGAUCAGUAGCUGGUCUGAGAGGACGGCCAGCCACACUGGGACUGAGACACGGCCCAGACUCCUACGGGAGGCAGCAGUGGGGAAUUUUGGACAAUGGGCGCAAGCCUGAUCCAGCCAUGCCGCGUGAGUGAAGAAGGCCUUCGGGUUGUAAAGCUCUUUCAGCCGGGAAGAAAAGGUUGCGACUAAUAAUCGCAAUUCAUGACGGUACCGGAAGAAGAAGCACCGGCUAACUACGUGCCAGCAGCCGCGGUAAUACGUAGGGUGCGAGCGUUAAUCGGAAUUACUGGGCGUAAAGGGUGCGCAGGCGGUUUUGUAAGUCAGAUGUGAAAUCCCCGGGCUUAACCUGGGAACU